GGAGGCGGCUGCGCGGAUCGGCUUACAGGCGGCUCCAAAAUAGGCCAGAGAAGUCUUGGAAUGAGGUGAAUUCAAUGCCAACAGACAGGGCUGACUUUGGUGUCGUCAGCGGACAAAUAAGGCCAAAUGGAUGCAGAGGAACGACCGGUUCAUCUUUGCGUUUGUUGGUGGCGGUGGAAGAAGAAGACAGACGUCCACCGGCUUUAUUCGAAUGACCCCCAAACAGAUGGGGUCAACUGAAACUCUGCUUUCUAUUAAUUUAUCCUCCAGCGACGUGCGGUUGGUGUAAACAUAUUUCCAAGUCAACACCYGGGACAGGAGGACCGUAACCCAUCCACCUAAAGCCAUAUAUGAGCUCCAUGGGCUUCCAUCAAUCAGUCCACGAUACAACCAAGGCAUGUAUUUGGAGUGGAGUCGGCGCCCCUCCUCUCCUGCAGAUAUUGUCUUGAAGGUGAAAGGAGAGACAGAGGGAGCAGUCAAACACCAUAAAAACAAGACAGCUGUACAGACUGAAAUAGCAGCGCUGCCCCCCCAUCAUCACCACCAUUCUCUUCUGCAGCCAUUUUGACCCUGUUCUAACAUUUUGACACUCUUCACUGAUMACCUUGCUUUUUGAAAACCCACUCGUAUUUAGCAUCGUUUGUAAUGUUAAACAUUUAUUGAAAUAUUUGGUGACGAAUUGCCGGAUCUAAUCUAAAAUGCAAACAUAGCUAAUCUAUAACUUUUUGGAACAAUUUUAGAGCGUCUAAAAGUAGAAUGGGACACACGUCACUUCAUUGGAAUAAGCCGUGGUUAUGUGUCAUGUUUAGUUUACAAUACAAGCCAAGCUGAUUGAAAAGAUUUUGUGUAAAAGAAAACCGUUGAACUUACYUAGCAUGUUGUAUGUAGCAAAAGCGGAGACCAAACAUGCCGCGUCAUCAUCCUCCUUCCACUUCCUGUCGUCGUCUUCUUCGUGGUUUGCGCCACUGGUCACUUCCGGUUUUUGAUCAUGUGACUCGUGUGGUGCAGAAAAAACGAUGUUUCCAUUGUAGUUUUGCUAAAUAAACCAGUUUUGAUCAUCCUAACGCCAAAACUUUAUCGAAAAACUAUUUCCCCCCCCAAACUGGCGUGUUUCCAUUACCCAUGUUUUUUUGUUUUUUUUAAUUGUCAAGUUACACGAUUAUAUGGAAACGCAGCUAAUAAACGUACACAAUUUGGCCACUCUUGUAAUGAGAUUAGGUAGGAUAAUUUUUAAGAUGAUUUUUGGCUUUUAACAGAAACCCACAUCUUUAACAAAACGCAUAAGAUAAAUGCCAUUUCAUACAACAAUWUUGUUAUAUUGUUUAUUUAUGUUAUAGCGCCAGUUUUGAUGUGGUUUAGGGAUGUUAGUGCUGUUGAAAUACCAUUUUCUUUUAUAAAAGUUUCAAUCUGUGAUCCAAACUGUCACUUUUGAAAGAAAAMAAGUGAGUUAAGAUCUACAAGACUGAAACUGAUACCUUGAAACUCGGUAGGAAUUUGGAUCUGCCAAAURUUUUGAAGUUUGUGUAUUUCUACAGGAAGUGGGCGGUUUUCCGCAAGUUGUCAAGGAAAAUACAUCAAAACUUUAAUCGCUAUG
This is a long non-coding RNA of Poecilia reticulata (guppy), 1594 nucleotides long. RefSeq lists it as uncharacterized. The record is from RefSeq and is a predicted model, not a curated record. Lineage: Eukaryota; Metazoa; Chordata; Actinopteri; Cyprinodontiformes; Poeciliidae.